This 313-nucleotide ribosomal RNA is filed under the name Escherichia coli. RNAcentral describes it as "partial 23S ribosomal RNA". It matches the Rfam family "Bacterial large subunit ribosomal RNA", at positions 1213 to 1529 of the family's 2925-position model. Lineage: Bacteria; Pseudomonadati; Pseudomonadota; Gammaproteobacteria; Enterobacterales; Enterobacteriaceae. The record is from RNAcentral.
CUGAUGCGUUGUUGGGUAGGGGAGCGUUCUGUAAGCCUGCGAAGGUGUGCUGUGAGGCAUGCUGGAGGUAUCAGAAGUGCGAAUGCUGACAUAAGUAACGAUAAAGCGGGUGAAAAGCCCGCUCGCCGGAAGACCAAGGGUUCCUGUCCAACGUUAAUCGGGGCAGGGUGAGUCGACCCCUAAGGCGAGGCCGAAAGGCGUAGUCGAUGGGAAACAGGUUAAUAUUCCUGUACUUGGUGUUACUGCGAAGGGGGGACGGAGAAGGCUAUGUUGGCCGGGCGACGGUUGUCCCGGUUUAAGCGUGUAGGCUGGU